UACGUAUGGAGCAAGCGUUAUCCGGAUUUACUGGGUGUAAAGGGAGCGUAGGCGGUCUAUUAAGUCUGAUGUGAAAACCUUGGGCUCAACUCAAGGCCUGCAUUGGAAACUGGUGGACUGGAGUGUCGGAGGGGCAAGUGGAAUUCCUAGUGUAGCGGUGAAAUGCGUAGAUAUUAGGAGGAACACCAGUGGCGAAGGCGGCUUGCUGGACGAUAACUGACGCUGAGGCUCGAAAGCGUGGGGAG
Molecule: ribosomal RNA, 245 nt
Filed under: uncultured Lachnospiraceae bacterium
Lineage: Bacteria; Bacillati; Bacillota; Clostridia; Lachnospirales; Lachnospiraceae
Description: partial 16S ribosomal RNA
Rfam family: Bacterial small subunit ribosomal RNA
Source: RNAcentral